This is a long non-coding RNA of Lycium barbarum (goji berry), 928 nucleotides long. RefSeq lists it as uncharacterized. The record is from RefSeq and is a predicted model, not a curated record. The transcript is spliced from 3 exons. Lineage: Eukaryota; Viridiplantae; Streptophyta; Magnoliopsida; Solanales; Solanaceae.
UCCGGUUAUUGCCCCAUUUGCUAUAGAUAUAACAAAAGUCUUAUUAGACCAAAAACCAAAGUACAACAACAUUACCUUGGUGUUGUUCUACUGCCAGAACUCAAUAUCACUCUAUUUCACGUUUGUUCACUUUUAAGGAGAGGAUUCUCCUAUUGUUUUACAUAUAUGCUUCAACAAUUUCGCACCUUGGGUAGCUACUAGCACACUCAAACGUAGAAGAGGCAACAUCAGUAAGUCACGAUUGUUAGAUAGUAAUUUAUUUCUCAAAGGAAAAUUUAUGCAUCAACAAAUUUGUUCACACCAACAGAAUUAUAUUUCUGGCAACGUUGUUAUGCUUGAAGAAGAAAUUGUGAAAUUAGAGCAAUUAAGAGUAGAAAUUCCUUCGAGAAAAUUAAGAUUUUGGACGAAACGGGAUUUGAAUUUGGAGAGGCGUAAGGAGCGAAUAAGGUACAGACGCACAGUUUGGUGAUCCACCAGUUUAGGACACCCUCUUCUGCUGUUUGGAGUGCUCCUCUUAUUCCGGAGCCUACAUUUUGGUAUAUAUACUUGUUUGAUGCAUAUGUAUAUAUUUGUUCAGGGGUACGGCGGGGCCCUGUUUCGCCAUAUGAUCCGUUUGGUCUAUUUAGAGGUCUGUAGACGUAUUUGUGGGUGUGUGUGCCUACUUCUGUACAGAUGUGUUUGUAUGACCCUGUUCGUUAUGGCAGCCUUGUCGGCGUGCACUUUGUAUAUGUUUUGGGUCGUUGCGCCAUCUGUUAGCCUUGUCGGCUUUUGAUACAUUUAAUAGCCUUGCCGGCUUUUCGAUAUAAGUAUAUGUAUAUGUUUGCGCUGAAAUGUGUCCGAUACAGUUUGACAUAGUUUGAGACGACAUAUAGUGUUUAUGGCCGUAUAUGCUAUUUGGAUGUGAUCAGAUAUGGAUAGGUAUGUCAGG